UGAGGAAUAUUGGUCAAUGGACGCAAGUCUGAACCAGCCAAGUAGCGUGCAGGAUGACGGCCCUAUGGGUUGUAAACUGCUUUUAUAUGGGGAUAAAGUGGGGAACGUGUUCCCUUUUGCAGGUACCAUAUGAAUAAGGACCGGCUAAUUCCGUGCCAGCAGCCGCGGUAAUACGGAAGGUUCGGGCGUUAUCCGGAUUUAUUGGGUUUAAAGGGAGCGUAGGCCGUUUGGUAAGCGUGUUGUGAAAUGUAGGAGCUCAACUUCUAGAUUGCAGCGCGAACUGUCAGACUUGAGUGCGCACAACGUAGGCGGAAUUCAUGGUGUAGCGGUGAAAUGCUUAGAUAUCAUGAAGAACUCCAAUUGCGAAGGCAGCUUACGGGAGCGCAACUGACGCUGAAGCUCGAAGGUGCGGGUAUCGAACAGG
This 424-nucleotide ribosomal RNA is filed under the name Verrucomicrobiota bacterium. Its description in RNAcentral is "Verrucomicrobia bacterium partial 16S ribosomal RNA". It matches the Rfam family "Bacterial small subunit ribosomal RNA", at positions 355 to 776 of the family's 1533-position model. The record is from RNAcentral. Lineage: Bacteria; Pseudomonadati; Verrucomicrobiota.